UGUUAUCGACAUGUGAAUUCAUAGCAUGUCAGAAGGCAGACCCGGAGAACUGAAACAUCUUAGUACCCGGAGGAAGAGAAAGAAAAAUCGAUUCCCUGAGUAGCGGCGAGCGAAACGGGAAGAGCCCAAACCAACAAGCUUGCUUGUUGGGGUUGUAGGACACUCUAUACGGAGUUACAAAAGAACAUGUUAGACGAAUCAUCUGGAAAGAUGAAUCAAAGAAGGUAAUAAUCCUGUAGUCGAAAACAUAUUCUCUCUUGAGUGGAUCCUGAGUACGACGGAGCACGUGAAAUUCCGUCGGAAUCUGGGAGGACCAUCUCCUAAGGCUAAAUACUCUCUAGUGACCGAUAGUGAACCAGUACCG
RNAcentral lists this ribosomal RNA (364 nucleotides) under Staphylococcus epidermidis. RNAcentral's name for it is "partial 23S ribosomal RNA". It matches the Rfam family "Bacterial large subunit ribosomal RNA", at positions 146 to 503 of the family's 2925-position model. Lineage: Bacteria; Bacillati; Bacillota; Bacilli; Caryophanales; Staphylococcaceae. The record is from RNAcentral.